RNAcentral lists this ribosomal RNA (107 nucleotides) under Phycisphaerae bacterium. RNAcentral also lists the same sequence under 1 other name. The record is from RNAcentral. Lineage: Bacteria; Pseudomonadati; Planctomycetota; Phycisphaerae.
GUUGGUGAAUAUAUGUCAAGGGAUACACCUGAUCCCAUCCCGAACUCAGAAGUUAAGUCUUGACAGCCGAUGAUACUGCUCAGCGGGAAAGUAGGUUAUUGCCAACU